This 391-nucleotide unclassified non-coding RNA is filed under the name soil metagenome. RNAcentral describes it as "partial contains 5.8S ribosomal RNA, internal transcribed spacer 2, and large subunit ribosomal RNA". The stretch from base 1 to 122 matches the Rfam family "5.8S ribosomal RNA", at positions 35 to 154 of the family's 154-position model. The record is from RNAcentral.
GAUGAAGAACGUAGCGAAAUGCGAUAAGUAAUGUGAAUUGCAGAAUUCAGUGAACCAUCGAGUCUUUGAACGCAAGUUGCGCCCGAAGCCAUUAGGCCGAGGGCACGCCUGCCUGGGCGUCACACGUCGUUGCCCCCCCAUCUACUCCUUCGGGAUUGCGGGGGGCGGAUGAUGGCCUCCCGUGCGCCUCGCCGCGCGGUUGGCAUAAAUGCCAAGUCCUCGGCGACGCACGCCACGACAAUCGGUGGUUGCGAAACCUCGGUUGCCCGUCGUGUGCGGUCGUCGCGCAUCGAGGGCUCGAAAAAAUUGCCGGGUUCCGGCUCGGCUUUCAACGCGACCCCAGGUCAGGCGGGGUUACCCGCUGAAUUUAAGCAUAUCAAUAAGCGGAGGA